This 440-nucleotide ribosomal RNA is filed under the name uncultured bacterium. RNAcentral describes it as "partial 16S ribosomal RNA". It matches the Rfam family "Bacterial small subunit ribosomal RNA", at positions 338 to 795 of the family's 1533-position model. The record is from RNAcentral.
CCUACGGGAGGCAGCAGUGGGGAAUAUUGCACAAUGGGGGAAACCCUGAUGCAGCAACGCCGCGUGAGUGAAGAAGUAUUUCGGUAUGUAAAGCUCUAUCAGCAGGGAAGAAAAUGACAGUACCUGACUAAGAAGCCCCGGCUAACUACGUGCCAGCAGCCGCGGUAAUACGUAGGGGGCAAGCGUUAUCCGGAUUUACUGGGUGUAAAGGGAGCGUAGACGGCUGCGCAAGUCAGAAGGGAAAGCCCGGGGCUCAACCGCGGGACUGCUUUUGAAACUGUGUAGCUAGGGUGCAGGAGAGGUAAGUGGAAUUCCUAGUGUAGCGGUGAAAUGCGUAGAUAUUAGGAGGAACACCGGUGGCGAAGGCGGCUUACUGGACUGUAACUGACGUUGAGGCUCGAAAGCGUGGGGAGCAAACAGGAUUAGAUACCCUUGUAGUC